Molecule: small nuclear RNA, 18 nt
Filed under: Arabidopsis thaliana (thale cress)
Lineage: Eukaryota; Viridiplantae; Streptophyta; Magnoliopsida; Brassicales; Brassicaceae
Description: snRNA_16619
Source: RNAcentral
AUAACCGGUGGCGUUCCG